AUGUCUGCAGGUCGCUCUCAGCACACGGCUACCUCGAGCAUGCGGCGCCGGCAAGAGGCCGAGCGCGCCGUGGCAGAGGAGCGUGAGCGAGCAGCUGUAGCAGCGGCCGCUGCGGCGGCAAGAGUGUCGAGGCUGGCUGCAGCGGAGCUGGCAGCAGCCAGAGCGGAGGUAGAAGCAGCCAGGGCGGAGGUAGAAGCAGCAGCAGCAGCAGAAGCAGCCCGUGAGGCUACGGCGGAUGCCAAGGCACUCCGCGGCAGCCCCGGCAGCUCCAGCAGCUCCGCGCCUGCGGACGACGGCGCCGACGCAGAUCGCGCCAAAGUGGCACAGGAGCGGACGGCGCAGUGGGCAGCCGAGCACGCCCGCGCUCCAGGUGGAGGCGCGCACCGCGACGGCGGCUGCAACGACCAGGACCGCGGCCUCUACGAGGUCCGGACUGUGGUCAGGGAUGUUGGUUCCAGUGUUGGGUGGCCUACCCUCACUAAAACCAACUACGUCGAGUGGGCCGGGAUCAUGAAGGUCAGGCUCCAGGUGCGGCGCAUGUGGGAGGCAGUCCAGGACAGCAACAUCGACCACCUAGAGGACCGACGGGCGCUGGACGCCCUCAUCGCCGCAGUCCCGCCCGAGAUGCAGUUCUCGCUUUCCAACAAGCGGACUGCCAAGGAGGCUUGGGACGCCAUCGCCGCAGCAUGCAUCGGCAGCGACCGUGCUCGCAAGUCCACCCUGCAGGCACUUCGUAAGGAGUGGGAGAACCUGGGCUUCAAGCCAGGUGAGGACGUUGAUGACUUUGCUCUCCGUCUCAACACUCUGCUGCAGAAGAUGGUGAAGUUUGGCGAUGCCACCUACACCGAGGAGAGAGCUGUCGAGAAGCUUUUUCGGUGCAUUCCCGAGAAGUACAAGCAGAUGGCUCGCUCGAUCGAGUCGUUGCUGGACCUCUCCACGAUGACGAUCGAGGAGGCGAUAGGUCGACUCAAGGUCGUCGACACCGACGAGCCACAGCCCCCCUCGGGGCCCGUCACCACCGGCGGGAAGCUGCUCCUAACUCGGGAGCAGUGGGAUCCCAGCCUUGGUGACAAGAAGAAGGGGGAGCCUUCCUCCUCGACGGGCGGCCGCAAGCGUGGCAAGCAGCGUAAGGCGCGAAGAGGCCCCCCGGGCAGGGCACAAGGACGUGCCGAAGGUGACGCCCGCGGAGGCGCCAAGGACGGCGCCGCUGGCAAGCCCAGGCCGGCACAAGACAACAGUUGCCAUAACUGUGGCCGGUUUGGCCAUUGGGCCAAUGAGUGUCGGCAACCACGACAAGGCCAGGCUCACAUCGCACAGGCGAAGGAGGAGGAGACGGCUCUGUUCAUGGCGCAUGCAAGCAUUGAGCUACCCUCGGCGACUCCAAGCAUGGGCUGCCUGGGGACGGCGCCGGUCCUAUACCACCGAGGGGGUUUCUUUUGUAGUUCUGGAUACACAAUUUUUCGUGAAGAGAUGGCUACCCCAAGGCAAUCUGAAUUAGAUGCUGGAACCGUAGAGGGCAACGGACAAGAGUUUGCUGGAAGUACCAACGUGAGCUCGAAUCAGGAAUUGUUUUGCUGCAACCGACAAUCACGAAAACUACAACCGGCAAUCACAAAAGCUACAACCGGUGAUCGGUUUUUCUUCAAUGGCGACGGGGUGGCAACACCGACGAGCUUUUUUUGCUGGAACCAGCAUAAUGUUUUGCUACUACCAGCUUACAUUUUUGUUACCACCAGCAAACCCGAAGGAGAGUACUUUUUUCACGAGUUCGUCAUCGGGGUGCUGCGACCGGCGACCGGCCGGAGCUAUGGGCGUCCUAGCUGCCACUGCCGGCGAGGGAGCUUCAACCGCGGGCGAAGGUUGUUGCAUGCGUGGAUCCAGCGAAAAAGACAUGAGCCGACCACGACGAGAGGUCGGCUACCGGCUGCGGGGGCGACGAGCGCGCGGACUGGUGCUUUGAGGCCGGUGGUCUGCUCAUCCAUGGAGGUGCGAGUGUGGAGGAGGAUUGGGGAAGAAGAAGACACAGGAAAAAAGACAUAA
This 2040-nucleotide ribosomal RNA is filed under the name Triticum aestivum (bread wheat). RNAcentral describes it as "partial small subunit ribosomal RNA". The record is from RNAcentral. Lineage: Eukaryota; Viridiplantae; Streptophyta; Magnoliopsida; Poales; Poaceae.